Molecule: unclassified non-coding RNA, 332 nt
Filed under: soil metagenome
Description: partial contains 5.8S ribosomal RNA, internal transcribed spacer 2, and large subunit ribosomal RNA
Rfam family: 5.8S ribosomal RNA (bases 1-120)
Source: RNAcentral
GAUGAAGAACGUAGCGAAAUGCGAUAAGUAGUGUGAAUUGCAGAAUUCAGUGAAUCAUCGAAUCUUUGAACGCACAUUGCCCCCUUUGGUAUUCCUUAGGGCAUGCCUGUUCGAGCGUCAUUUAAACCUUCAAGCUAAGCUUGGUGUUGGGUGACUGUCCGCCUCACGGCGGACUCGCCUCAAAAUUAUUGGCGGCCGGUACAUUGGCUUCGAGCGCAGCAGAAACGCGAACUCGGGCCCGUCGUAUUGGCUCCCAGAAGCUAUCUUCACAAUUUUGACCUCGGAUCAGGUAGGGAUACCCGCUGAACUUAAGCAUAUCAAUAAGCGGAGGA